RNAcentral lists this transfer RNA (73 nucleotides) under Deltaproteobacteria bacterium. RNAcentral describes it as "tRNA-Ala". It matches the Rfam family "tRNA". Rfam says of the family: Transfer RNA (tRNA) molecules are approximately 80 nucleotides in length. Their secondary structure includes four short double-helical elements and three loops (D, anti-codon, and T loops). Further hydrogen bonds mediate the characteristic L-shaped molecular structure. tRNAs have two regions of fundamental functional importance: the anti-codon, which is responsible for specific mRNA codon recognition, and the 3' end, to which the tRNAs corresponding amino acid is attached (by aminoacyl-tRNA synthetases). tRNAs cope with the degeneracy of the genetic code in two manners: having more than one tRNA (with a specific anti-codon) for a particular amino acid; and 'wobble' base-pairing, i.e. permitting non-standard base-pairing at the 3rd anti-codon position. The record is from RNAcentral. Lineage: Bacteria; Pseudomonadati; Myxococcota; Myxococcia.
GGGUGGUUAGCUCAGUUGGAAGAGCGCAGCCUUCGCAAGGCUGAGGUCGGCGGUUCGAGCCCGCUACCAUCCA